UUGAGCUCAAAUCUUUUGGUGAGCUUUUGUUGAUUUCUUUUGGAAUUUAUUUUCUUUUCUCAACCGUAGCAAAUGAUUGAAGAGAUUGAUAAAUCUAUUGUCAAACCUUCGCCUUGAGAGUAUAUGCUGGAUUGAAGAAAAAGAAGCCUGUUGAAAUUUCAAGCUCAUUGAAUUAAAAAAGUCUGGAUGCUGAGGAAGAUUUGGAUUGCAUUUUUAGAUUAUUUUCUUUGCAUAUUAUUUAUUUUUUCUAGCUGAAAAUAUGUUUUUCCUGUCUGAAGCUUACAGAAAAUACAUUAGGAGGAAGAUGCAGAGGGAAUAGAAUCAAUAGAUUUGCAGGUCGGCAACGUUACCCUGGGAGGGGAGUGAUAUAAAUUACAUAUAUGACGAGCUUCUUGGUAGAGUUUUUAUCAUUCUCCGUGAAAAUAAUCCAAAGCUUUCUGGAGAGAGGCGUCAUAUAGUUAGGAAGCCUCCUCAAAAGAAAAACAGUGUUUGUCAACUUUAUGGAUCUUUGCAAGACAUUCUCACGCUUUAACAUGGC
This is a long non-coding RNA of Brassica oleracea var. oleracea, 538 nucleotides long. RefSeq lists it as uncharacterized. NCBI's taxonomy places the organism in Eukaryota, Viridiplantae, Streptophyta, Magnoliopsida, Brassicales, Brassicaceae. The record is from RefSeq and is a predicted model, not a curated record. The transcript has 3 exons.